GCCCGCCGCGGUAACGACGGGUAACGGGGGAAUCAGGGUUCGAUUCCGGAGAGGGGAGCCCGAGAAACGGCUACCACUUCCAAGGAAGGCAGCAGGCGCGCAACUUACCCUAAUCUCGAUUCGAGGAGGUAGUGACAAGAAAUACCGAUGCGGGACCCUACGGGUGCCGCGUUCGGAAUGAGUACGAUUCGAACCACCUAACGAGGAACGAUCGGAGGGCAAGUCUGGUGCCAGCAGCCGCGGUAAUUCCAGCUCCAAUAGCGUACGUUAAAGUUGCUGCAGUUAAAAAGCUCGUAGUUGAACGUUCGGGUUCCGCGGGACGGGGCCGCCCCGCGAGGGACGGCGCCGCCCCGGGGCUCGUGAUAUCUCAUCUCGCCGCCCGUCGCGAGGCGGACGGAGGGAUGGAUGAGGUUACCUGGAAAAAAUCGGGGCGAUCUAGGCGGGCGAACCUCGCCAACGAACGAUCGGACAUGGGAUAACGGAAGAGGGCGUCGGCUCGACUUCGUCGGUUCCUCGGGCCGAGGCACGUACGGUGAAUAGGGACGGUCGGGGCCGCCCGGUACCGGGUCGUGAGAGGUGAAUUCUAGGAUCGA
RNAcentral lists this ribosomal RNA (593 nucleotides) under uncultured eukaryote. Its description in RNAcentral is "bacterial SSU rRNA". It matches the Rfam family "Eukaryotic small subunit ribosomal RNA", at positions 339 to 928 of the family's 1831-position model. The record is from RNAcentral.